This is a non-coding RNA of Ictidomys tridecemlineatus (thirteen-lined ground squirrel), 3536 nucleotides long. NCBI's taxonomy places the organism in Eukaryota, Metazoa, Chordata, Mammalia, Rodentia, Sciuridae. The record is from RefSeq and is a predicted model, not a curated record.
CUCCUUGCCUGUUCCCUCUGGAUAUAUCCAAAACCAGGACUUGUGAGACAUUUUGUGGAGAAAAUUAGGAAGCAAGUUGACAUAAAACAAGUGUACACAUUAGAACUCAGAAGUAAGGAGGUAACUCAUAGUUCCUGAAAGUGAAUAGACUAAAUUUUAAUCAUGGCCUUUGGUCUUAUAACACAUGCCAGCUUCAUCACCAGUCACACUUCAUACUUGAUACAUCUUUUGCCACCUUUCAGUUUUAGUUGUACAGAAAAUAUUUUUAGCAACAAAUGAGCAAAUUAAUGAGAUGAGAAACAGAAAAAAAAAGUGAGAAUGAAGAUUACCAAAGACUAGGCAUACAUGGUCAUUGCCAUGGGCAUUCAUGGUUCUCCAUCAUAUUUGGUGCAGGAAGGAGAGAGUUUUCAGUACAGGAAAAAAACAUGGCAGACAUUAUAAAGUAACAUGCCUUAGUAUGUGGUGGCAUGUACUGGCUACUAUUAGGAAAAAGAAAUAAUCUCCCUCCUGAUUUAGUAAAAAUUACUCUUACCUCUCAAAUGUCUACAAGUCCCUUGAGAGUGGGGACCAAACCUAAUUUGUUGUUAUUGCUUAUUGCUUAACUAGCACAGUAUCUGCCCACUAGCAGCAACCUUAUACAUAAUUGUAGAAUACAUGAAUUAACAAACAAGGAGCUGGAAAACCAGACCAUUCUGGGGUGACCCAGUGUGUUUGUGUCUCUCUGGGAUGUGUUUAAGUGUAUACAAUUUUGCAGUAGGUAUUCAUUUUUAUGCUGAAUAUAUUGGCAGUAUUGUGCAUUCUGCAUGAGUUUCUGGUAUGGAGGACAAGUUCUGGUCAGUCAGUUCCUCAGCAUAAUUUUCAUUUAAAUGAGGCAACAGCAUUCUACCCCAUACUUAGGUAGAAGGAUGGUCUAAUGGAGCUUCUAAUGGGAAAUAGUUUUUAGUGUAAAAAAAUGAUGAUUAAUUUUAGAUGGUAUUCUUUCUAAUUGUCUAUGUCACCAAGUGAAAUCUAAUCUCUUGCAGUGUGGUUUUGGAAUUCAAAUGUUAUUAGUUGGAAUUGACAUUAAUUACUUUUGUGCUGCUUGGCAUAUGCUGGAACAUUAUUUCUACAACAAUUCUACCGAAGUCGCUUAGGCAAUUAUCUCUGCUGUGAUCAUUGUCAUCGUCAUCAUAAUUAUUGCUAUUAAAUCUCUCCUGUUCUCUGUGCAUCUUAGCUGUUCUCCACACACCAUACCCCUUUUCUCUCCUCCAUCUCCCCUAUAGGAAGUCCCAUUCUCCCGCGUGUGGUGCAGUAACCGACAGCCCCUGCACUGUGCCUUCUCCCUGGAGCUCUACACGCCCACCACCACCCAGCUGUCCUGCAAAAUCUGCAUCCGGCAGCUCAAAGGCCAUGAACAGAUACUCCAAGUGCAGAUAUCCAUCCUAGAGAGUGAAAGAGAAACCAUCACUUUCUUUGCACAAGAGGACAGCAGUUUCCCUGCACAGACUGGCCCCAAAGCCUUUAAAAUCCCCUACUCUAUCAGACAGCGGAUUUGUGCUACAUUUGAUACCCCAAAUGCCAAAGGCAAGGACUGGCAGAUGCUAGCGCAGAAAAACAGCAUCAACAGGAAUCUGUCUUAUUUUGCUACACAAAGCAGCCCUUAUGCUGUCAUUCUGAACCUGUGGGAAGCUCGUCAUCAGCAUGAUGGUGACCUUGACUCCCUGGCCUGUGCCCUUGAAGAGAUUGGGAGGACACACACGAAACUCUCAAACAUCACGGAAUCCCAGCUGGACGAAGCCGACUUCAACUACAGCAGGCAGAACAGACUCUAGUCCCCUUCCUCUCGGGAGCAGAGGGAUGGCCAACUUGGGGACUUUGACUUUAAAUGGGAAAAAAAAGAGGCAGCUUUCUGCUCAGCGUCAUUUGGGGAAUUCAGCUUGGUUGGUAAUCAGUGAGAUCCCCUGGUUGAAGGAACUGAAUUUUCUAGAGGUAAAACAUGCCAGUAGAGCAAAGGACCAGCUCUCUUAGAUGUCAGAGGGUUUUAUUGUCUCCUCUGAAUCACACGCAGGUCAACACUGGAUGCCCUCCUCGGAUCUGGAGUGUCUAGGAUAGACAGGAAGGCAUAUUGAGACAAAAGUAGCUAUGGAGAGAGAGGAGCUACAAUAAAGCUGAAGGCAGAGAUUGAUUAAGUGCAUGUUUUGAAACAGGUUUUAAAUGAUGUGCCCCACAGGGCCAGCAGAUUCUGGUACCAGUUUGUCAGUUUUCUACCAACUGGCAUUUGUAAUGUCAAGAAUCAUUGUAAAACUGACUUUUAGAAGUAAAACAGGGUUGCCAACCCAUUUGUAUGACUUUUUCAACAUCAAAGAGGGCGUUUAGAUUCUAGAAUCUGAAUACACCACACCAGCACCAAUUUCCUGUCUAUACUAGCCACUGAACGGAGACAAGACCCAAAAGUCAGACAGACCACGAACUAGUUCUCAUAGGGUACCUCACCUUCAUUUUUUCCCAAAGACAAAUCUACCCACUUCUCUCCUUCCUGAACUUCCAGAGUAGAGAGGUUUCAAGGAACAUAAUGAGAUUUUUGAACAUGGAAAUUUAUCUCUUCAAACUCAGCCAAGUAGUAGUAUCUCUAUUCCCAGUUAAGCCAGUCAAAUUGCAGAGUGCUGUUGGAACACAGCUUAUUACAUGGAUUCAGAGACAGGACUGGUCAGGCCAGGUCCAAGGAAACAUGAACUGCAGAUGUCAUGGACCUCAAAUAAGCUGUAAUUCUAAGAGGCAGGCGUUGAUCCAGUUCUCCAAUAUUUUUGUAACAAGGGAAUGAUGAGAUUUACUGCACUUUUCGAUCCAAGUUCUGGAAAGUUUCUUAACAUUUUGGUACCAUGCCAUCAUAGAAUCUCUCAGUAGGGCCACCUAGGUCACCCUCCUUUUGCCUCUUGAGAAAUUAGCAGACAGGCUUUGUCUUAGAUGAUAGCUGAAUAAAUAGACCUGAGGAAUACAUGUCCCAGAAACCACAUCCAUCAUUGAAGGAGCUUCAAGCUCUGACUGUUCAGCCUCACCAAGUACCCUUUCUCCACUGAACCUUUAACAUGUGGCCACUGCUUUAUUUUUCUGUUUUAAAAUAGGAGGCAGUGGUGUUGUACAGAACUCAGAUUCAUCAACCAUUCAUCAUCCUCAUCUUAAUACUUUAUUCCAUCUUUUUUAUCCUCUUCAGUGGUUUUUUGACAAGAUGCCUGGUAGACUACAGAUGAGCAGAGAUGCUCCAGCUCAUCUUCUGGUGUUUGUUUUCCUUAGCUGUCCACAAUCAGGACAACCAAAGUCAAGGACCUAGGUUAACCCCAAGGCAGCUAGUCAGCUACUUAGAGAUCGGCUACUUUAUUAAAAGUAGUCAUGGAAUGGGGGAGGUGGGAACUACUUGGCACUGGAGAUGCAAUCAAUUUUUUAAACACUUUUAUAGAUCCCUUGUUUUAAAAAAAAUGUUGUGAAUCUCCCCAUAAGUGGAAAAGACCUAAAGGAAGGUGAAGUUUAGGAUACCAUGGAUAAAACAUUGAAGAACUCUG